Molecule: ribosomal RNA, 379 nt
Filed under: uncultured bacterium
Lineage: Bacteria
Description: bacterial SSU rRNA
Rfam family: Bacterial small subunit ribosomal RNA
Source: RNAcentral
GACGAACGCUGGCGGCGUGCUUAACACAUGCAAGUCGAGCGGUAAGGCCCUUUCGGGGGUACACGAGCGGCGAACGGGUGAGUAACACGUGGGUGACCUGCCCUCAGCUCUGGGAUAAGCCUGGGAAACUGGGUCUAAUACCGGAUAUGACUUCGCAUCGCAUGGUGUGGGGUGGAAAGUUUUCGGCUGGGGAGUGGCCCGCGGCCUAUCAGCUUGUUGGUGGGGUGAUGGCCUACCAAGGCGACGACGGGUAGCCGGCCUGAGAGGGCGACCGGCCACACUGGGACUGAGACACGGCCCAGACUCCUACGGGAGGCAGCAGUGGGGAAUAUUGCGCAAUGGGCGGAAGCCCGACGCAGCGACGCCGCGUGGGGAUGAC